This 699-nucleotide small RNA is filed under the name Pan troglodytes (chimpanzee). Its description in RNAcentral is "retained intron". The record is from RNAcentral. Lineage: Eukaryota; Metazoa; Chordata; Mammalia; Primates; Hominidae.
UUUAGCUGCUGGAGAAGGUGCACUUUAGGCACACACAUGCCAAAUUCCUAAAUGAUCAGCAACUUAAGAGGAGGUUAUUUGAUUGUGAAUAAGCCUUUUAUUGGUUUACGUUUAAGCUGUCUGUGCCUCAUGGAAUUGCCAAUGAAGAUAUUGUCUCGCAAAACCCCGGAGAACUCUCUUGUAAGGUAAAGUAGAGCUCUUUCCUUACUGGUUAAUGUAAAAAAAAAAAUUACUGGCCUCUGUUACUACCAUUACACAUUAUUAAAUGCUUUAGGCUCCAAAGAUUAAAAUGUGAAAAAGUAAUAAUGUUUUAUUAAAUAAUAAUUGCUUCAGAGAGUGGUAUUGUACCUUGCAGCGUGGGGAUGUACUUGUGAUGCUGAAGCAGACGGAAAAUAAUUACCUGGAGUGCCAAAAGGGAGAAGACACUGGCAGAGUUCACCUGUCUCAAAUGAAGAUUAUCACUCCACUUGAUGAACAUCUUAGAAGCAGACCAAACGAUCCAAGCCACGCUCAGAAGCCUGUUGACAGUGGUGCUCCUCAUGCUGUCGUUCUUCAUGAUUUCCCAGCAGAGCAAGUUGAUGAUUUGAACCUCACUUCUGGAGAAAUUGUUUAUCUUCUGGAGAAGAUAGAUACAGAUUGGUACAGAGGGAACUGUAGAAACCAGAUUGGCAUAUUUCCUGCCAACUAUGUCAAAGUGAU